RNAcentral lists this ribosomal RNA (444 nucleotides) under uncultured organism. Its description in RNAcentral is "bacterial SSU rRNA". It matches the Rfam family "Bacterial small subunit ribosomal RNA", at positions 29 to 507 of the family's 1533-position model. The record is from RNAcentral.
AACGAACGCUGGCGGCAUGCCUAACACAUGCAAGUCGAACGAGGUUUCCGCUUCGGCGGGACCCUAGUGGCGCACGGGUGAGUAACGCGUGGGAACCUGCCCUGUGGUGCGGAAUAACUCCGGGAAACUGGAGCUAAUACCGCAUGCGUCCUGCGGGACAAAGAUUGCAUCGCCAUGGGAGGGGCCCGCGUAGGAUUAGCUUGUUGGCGGGGUAACGGCCCACCAAGGCUUCGAUCCUUAGCUGGUCUGAGAGGAUGAUCAGCCACACUGGGACUGAGACACGGCCCAGACUCCUACGGGAGGCAGCAGUGGGGAAUAUUGGACAAUGGGCGCAAGCCUGAUCCAGCAAUGCCGCGUGAGUGAUGAAGGCCUUCGGGUUGUAAAGCUCUUUCGCACGCGACGAUGAUGACGGUAGCGUGAGAAGAAGCCCCGGCUAACUUCGUG